This 1476-nucleotide ribosomal RNA is filed under the name soil metagenome. RNAcentral describes it as "bacterial LSU rRNA". It matches the Rfam family "Bacterial large subunit ribosomal RNA", at positions 1052 to 2538 of the family's 2925-position model. The record is from RNAcentral.
GUGUAAGUUAAGUGGAAAAGGAUGUGGGAUUUCUAAGACAACUAGGAUGUUGGCUCAGAAGCAGCCACUCAUUCAAAGAGUGCGUAAUAGCUCACUAGUCGAGAGAUCCUGCGCCGAAGAUGUCCGGGGCUCAAACUUACCACCGAAGCUACGGGUUCACACAUUAGUGUGAGCGGUAGAGGAGCGUCGUAAUCGGGUUGAAGUCGUACCGUAAGGAGCGGUGGACUGAUUACGAGUGAGAAUGUUGGCAUUAGUAGCGAGAUGUAAGUGAGAAUCUUACAGGCCGAAUAUCUAAGGUUUCCUGAGUAAAGUUUGUCUUCUCAGGGUUAGUCGGGACCUAAGGCGAGGCCGAAAGGCGUAGUCGAUGGACAAUUGGUUGAUAUUCCAAUACCACUACAAUCGUUAUUAUCGAUGGUGUGACGGAGAAGGAUAGGAUGUGCCAGCUAUUGGAUGCUGGUCUAAGCGUUUAGGGAGUUAGAAUAGGCAAAUCCGUUCUAACAAUUCUGAGGCGUGAUGGGGAAGGUUCUACGGAACCGAAGUAUCUGAUUCCAUGCUUCCAAGAAAAGCAUCUAGAAAGAGAAGUAGUGCCCGUACCGCAAACCGACACAGGUAGAUGAGGAGAGAAUCCUAAGGCCGACGGAAGAAUUGCAGUUAAGGAACUAGGCAAAUUGACCCCGUAACUUCGGGAGAAGGGGUGCCUGAGAAAUCAGGCCGCAGAGAAUAGGCACAAGCAACUGUUUAACAAAAACACAGGUCUCUGCUAAAGCGUAAGCUGAUGUAUAGGGGCUGACGCCUGCCCGGUGCUGGAAGGUUAAGGGGAAUGCUUAGCAGCAAUGCGAAGGUGUGAACUUAAGCCCCAGUAAACGGCGGCCGUAACUAUAACGGUCCUAAGGUAGCGAAAUUCCUUGUCAGGUAAGUUCUGACCCGCACGAAAGGCGUAAUGAUUUGGGCACUGUCUCAACAACAAAUCCGGCGAAAUUGUAGUGCCAGUGAAGAUGCUGGCUACCCGCGAUUGGACGGAAAGACCCCGUAGAGCUUUACUGUAGCUUAGCAUUGAAUUUCGGUAUUGUCUGUACAGGAUAGGUGGGAGACUGAGAAACAUGGGCGUCAGCCUGUGUGGAGUCAACCUUGGGAUACCACCCUGACAGUACUGAGGUUCUAACUGGAGGCCAUGAAUCUGGUCACAGGACAUUGUUAGGUGGGCAGUUUGACUGGGGCGGUCGCCUCCUAAAAGGUAACGGAGGCGCCCAAAGGUUCCCUCAGCGCGGUUGGAAAUCGCGCGAAGAGUGCAAAGGCAGAAGGGAGCCUGACUGCGACACUUACAAGUGGAGCAGGGACGAAAGUCGGGCUUAGUGAUCCGGUGGUUCCUCGUGGGAGGGCCAUCGCUCAACGGAUAAAAGCUACCCCGGGGAUAACAGGCUGAUCUCCCCCAAGAGUCCACAUCGACGGGGAGGUUUGGCACCUCGAUGUCGGCUC